This 463-nucleotide ribosomal RNA is filed under the name uncultured bacterium. Its description in RNAcentral is "partial 16S ribosomal RNA". It matches the Rfam family "Bacterial small subunit ribosomal RNA", at positions 30 to 507 of the family's 1533-position model. The record is from RNAcentral.
CGAACGCUGGCGGUGUGCUUAACACAUGCAAGUCGAACGGUAAGGCCCUUUCGGGGGUACACGAGUGGCGAACGGGUGAGUAACACGUGAGUAACCUGCCCUCAUCUCUGGGAUAACAGUCGGAAACGGUUGCUAAUACUGGAUAUGAGCCUGCAAGGCAUCUUGUGGGUUGGAAAGAUUUUUUGGUUGGGGAUGGACUCGCGGCCUAUCAGCUUGUUGGUGAGGUAGUGGCUCACCAAGGCUUCGACGGGUAGCCGGCCUGAGAGGGCGACCGGCCACAUUGGGACUGAGAUACGGCCCAAACUCCUACGGGAGGCAGCAGUGGGGAAUAUUGCACAAUGGACGGAAGUCUGAUGCAGCAACGCCGCGUGCGGGAUGACGGCCUUCGGGUUGUAAACCGCUUUCAAUUGUGACGAAGCUUUUUGUGACGGUAGCAGUAGAAGAAGCACCGGCUAACUACGUG